Molecule: non-coding RNA, 101 nt
Filed under: Human adenovirus 4
Lineage: Varidnaviria; Bamfordvirae; Preplasmiviricota; Pharingeaviricetes; Rowavirales; Adenoviridae
Also listed under: 1 other name
Source: RNAcentral
GGCUCGCUGCCAAAUUUCGCAGCUAACGAGGGCGUGGCUGUCCCGUCGUUUCCAAGACCCCAUAAGCCAGCCAACUUCUCCAGUUACGGAGCGAGCCCCUC